Molecule: small RNA, 717 nt
Filed under: Pongo abelii (Sumatran orangutan)
Lineage: Eukaryota; Metazoa; Chordata; Mammalia; Primates; Hominidae
Description: sense intronic
Source: RNAcentral
GACAGACCCCCACCAGUUCUCUAAAAAAAUAAAUCUACUUUGUUUUAUUUUUAUAUAUAAUAAAUAUUUAUUCAAUUUGUUUAAAAAGUCUGAAAUAUUAUGAUCCCUCUUCUACAAUUUUCAUCAAAAAUGGUAAUCAGAUGUUUCUUGUGAGACUAACAUGACUGUAGAAAAUUAGCAAAAUAAUAAAGCUUUUUUUUAAAGCAUAGUGGUUCACACCUAUAAUUCCAGUACUCUGGGAGGCUGAGGCAGGAGAAUCUCUUGGGUUCAGGAGUUUAAGACCAGCCUGGGCAACAUAGCAAGACCCCAUCUCUAAAAAAAAUUUAAAAAAUUAGCAGGGCGUGAUCGUGCACACCUGUGGUCCCAGCUACUUGGGAGGCUGAGGUGGGUGAAUCACUUGAGCCCAAAAGAGUGUGCCACUGCACUCCAGCCUGGGUGACAGAGCAAGACGCUAUCUCAAAGAAAAAAAAAAACUUUUUAAAAAAGUUAAAAAAAACCACUCACCAAAAUUACAAAAAAAGCUAUCAACAGAAAAUUGCUUGUAAUUUUCAACUUUUGAGAGAAACUAUGAGGUAUGUACUAAGAGACAGACUCUAUUAAGAUCAAGGGUGUAUUAACAUUGAGGCUGAGCUUCCCACCUUAUUGUACCAGAGUACCGUGUAUUUCAAAUGUGCUUUUGGUGUAAACUCUGUAAUAAAUAUGCUUUUUAUGCACCAA